GCCAGUGUGGCGAAAUUGGUAGACGCAGUGGAUUCAAAAUCCACCGGGCUAACCCCCGUGCCGGUUCGAGUCCGGCCACUGGUACCA
This 87-nucleotide transfer RNA is filed under the name Zymobacter palmae. Its description in RNAcentral is "tRNA-Leu". It matches the Rfam family "tRNA". From Rfam's summary of the family: Transfer RNA (tRNA) molecules are approximately 80 nucleotides in length. Their secondary structure includes four short double-helical elements and three loops (D, anti-codon, and T loops). Lineage: Bacteria; Pseudomonadati; Pseudomonadota; Gammaproteobacteria; Oceanospirillales; Halomonadaceae. The record is from RNAcentral.